This 129-nucleotide small nucleolar RNA is filed under the name Echinops telfairi (small Madagascar hedgehog). Its description in RNAcentral is "Small nucleolar RNA SNORA20 (ENSETEG00000021551.1)". It matches the Rfam family "Small nucleolar RNA SNORA20". Rfam says of the family: ACA20 is a member of the H/ACA class of snoRNA that guide the sites of modification of uridines to pseudouridines. Lineage: Eukaryota; Metazoa; Chordata; Mammalia; Afrosoricida; Tenrecidae. The record is from RNAcentral.
UUUCCCAUUGAUUUGCUACUAUUGCCUGUCAGUGAUAUGAGCAGUUAUACGCAUGGGAUAAAACAUAUGGGGCCCUUGCAAAUUGAGAUGAAAAUAAUCGUUUCUCUCUUCUGUAUGGUCUGGACAUUG